RNAcentral lists this ribosomal RNA (607 nucleotides) under uncultured fungus. Its description in RNAcentral is "eukaryotic LSU rRNA". The stretch from base 214 to 366 matches the Rfam family "5.8S ribosomal RNA". Lineage: Eukaryota; Fungi. The record is from RNAcentral.
CUUGGUCAUUUAGAGGAAGUAAAAGUCGUAACAAGGUUUCCGUAGGUGAACCUGCGGAAGGAUCAUUAAUAAAUGUUUCCAAACUCACUAUGUCAACUGUUAUCAAAACCUGGUGAUGUUCCGUGGUAACUUCUACACUGUAGUCGUUACUCGGGCUCAUCCUUUUUAAACUUGUAUAAACUUGAAUCUGGGCCUUUAUAUCAAUAUAAAGACAACUUUUAGCAACGGAUCUCUAGGCUCUUGCAACGAUGAAGAACGCAGCAAAAUGCGAUAAGUAAUGUGAAUUGCAGAAACCGUGAAUCAUCAAAUCUUUGAACGCACAUUGCACUGCCUGGAAUUCCGGGCAGUAUGGCUAUUUGAGUAUCAGUAUCCUCUUACCAAAAACUUUAUUGUUGAUGGUAGAUUUGGGCUUUGCCACUUAUGAACUGGCUGGCCUGUAACUGAUUGUAUGCACCAUUUUUGCGCUUACAGAGAUAACUCUGGUUUUCCAGUGUAAUCUGUUUCCGUGAGAAUCGUGUAUUAAAACUAUCGAGGGCUCGACCCUUUGCAUUGAUCUCAAAUUAGGCAAGAUUACCCGCUGAACUUAAGCAUAUCAAUAAGCGGAGGA